CCUACGGGAGGCAGCAGUGGGGAAUUUUGGACAAUGGGCGCAAGCCUGAUCCAGCAAUGCCGCGUGAGUGAAGAAGGCCUUCGGGUUGUAAAGCUCUUUUGUCAGGGAAGAAACGGUGGGGGCUAAUAUCCUUUGCUAAUGACGGUACCUGAAGAAUAAGCACCGGCUAACUACGUGCCAGCAGCCGCGGUAAUACGUAGGGUGCAAGCGUUAAUCGGAAUUACUGGGCGUAAAGCGUGCGCAGGCGGUUUUGUAAGUCUGUCGUGAAAUCCCCGGGCUCAACCUGGGAAUUGCGAUGGAGACUGCAAGGCUAGAAUCUGGCAGAGGGGGGUAGAAUUCCACGUGUAGCAGUGAAAUGCGUAGAGAUGUGGAGGAACACCGAUGGCGAAGGCAGCCCCCUGGGUCAAGAUUGACGCUCAUGCACGAAAGCGUGGGGAGCAAACAGGAUUAGAUACCCUGGUAGUCCACGCCCUAAACGAUGUCUACUAGUUGUCGGGUUUUAAUUAACUUGGUAACGCAGCUAACGCGUGAAGUAGACCGCCUGGGGAGUACGGUCGCAAGAUUAAAACCUCAAAGUAGUAAGUGGACGUGAGAGAGCGACGACGACGACGACGGAGGAGGAGG
This 624-nucleotide ribosomal RNA is filed under the name uncultured bacterium. RNAcentral describes it as "bacterial SSU rRNA". It matches the Rfam family "Bacterial small subunit ribosomal RNA", at positions 338 to 956 of the family's 1533-position model. The record is from RNAcentral.